GACGAACGCUGGCGGCGUGCUUAACACAUGCAAGUCGAACGAUGAAGCCCAGCUUGCUGGGUGGAAGAGUGGCGAACGGGUGAGUAACACGUGAGUAACCUGCCCCUGACUCUGGGAUAAGCGCUAGAAAUGGCGUCUAAUACUGGAUAUGACCUAUCACCGCAUGGUGUGUAGGUGGAAAGAUUUAUCGGUUGGGGAUGGACUCGCGGCCUAUCAGCUUGUUGGUGAGGUAAUGGCUCACCAAGGCGACGACGGGUAGCCGGCCUGAGAGGGAGACCGGCCACACUGGGACUGAGACACGGCCCAGACUCCUACGGGAGGCAGCAGUGGGGAAUAUUGCACAAUGGGCGCAAGCCUGAUGCAGCAACGCCGCGUGAGGGAUGACGGCCUUCGGGUUGUAACCUCUUUUAGUAGGGAAGAAGCGCAAGUGACGGUACCUGCAGAAAAAGCACCGGCUAGCUACGUGCCAGCCGCCGCCGUAA
RNAcentral lists this ribosomal RNA (482 nucleotides) under uncultured bacterium. RNAcentral describes it as "partial 16S ribosomal RNA". It matches the Rfam family "Bacterial small subunit ribosomal RNA", at positions 28 to 523 of the family's 1533-position model. The record is from RNAcentral.